UAAUAACAGUGGAAAUGUUGAAUAUCGCUUUUUUCUUUUCUUUUCUCUUUUUUUUUUUUUUUUUUUUGUAGCCAACAUUUAGAGGUAUGUUCUACCACAGAAAUAGACUUGCAAAAAUAAACCUGCCCUGAGGGGAAAAAAGUGUGACAAAUAAGCUUGUUCUCCACUAUUGCUUUUAGUUGAUCUGUGUAUGAUAACCAGGUUCAGGAGCUUUACCAUGGCCUAGCCUUCUGCUCAGAGCUGAAGAAGAUGGAAGGCAAGAUGGAUGCAGUGCAGAAGAAUAAGCCAUCAGAGGUCCGACUUCUGGAGAAGAUGAGGCUGAACUGCCAGGUGUUUACAGAUGAGAUCACACUGAUCCACCUCAAUUGACAUGUGGCUCACCUGCGUGAAAUUCUGGAGAAGAUGCAGGCCAAGGUGAGACUGGAAUCCACAAUCUAGUUUCUAAAGGUUUUCAAGUUUCCUGGUGCAGUAUGAAAUGAUAUAGUGCUGACAUGUGAACGCAGGCCAGGAGUUAUUAUUUUAGACCACAUUUAAAUGAGGCUGAACAUAUGGUACUAAUGUGAGCAUUACAGUCUUGGCUUUUCCCAAUAUGCAAGCACUUUGUUGGACAUAGAAAAACACUUGGGGGAAAAAUGAAUACAGUUAAUCGACAUGAAGUCCUGAAGCUUUUCUUGUAAUGUAAGUUACUGCUAUUUUUCUUUUUGACAUCUUUUAGACGUUUUAAACAAAUCUUCAUGAGAAGCAAAUUAAUUGUCAUUUCACAAUCAUAGUCGCCACAACAGUGAGUCACUGGCACCAACACCACUCAUUUUUCAAAAGCCAGAAUGACACGAAACACUAGUGUAAAAUUAUCCAGGUCGUGGCCAUACCUGUGAUUCUUUCCCACCUCCAUUCUCCUUUAAAGCGGCUCUUUCAUCUCAUCGGUAGAGACCUAACGAGGUGCCAUUAAAGGACACAUGCCGACCGGGGCUUUGGAAGAAAAGAGCGUGUCACGUUGCCGCCCUCAGGCCACAGUCUUUAGGUGCUGAGUUGGUGGGAAAGAGGCAGCGGCGCUAAUGUUUAGCAUAUGACCUAAUCAGGGGAAAGGCGCAGGUCAGGCCACAGAGCAGUCUGAGAACUAAUACAAGCCUAGGCCCUAAUAAGGAGCAGGCUGCCAUUUAUUUCCCCUAGAUUAUCUGACAGUAAGGAAAUAUUUCAUCAUCGCUUCUAAUCUCCACGAUCCGUCGUGACUGCAGUGCAUCAGAGAAAACAGGAAGAGGGCGGGAGGAGUUGUUGAAAUAGAGCGGAAAGUAAAUUGGUGGCAAACAUGGGGUCUCAGACUGAAAAGCAGGGAUCUACUGUAGGGGAAAACCCCUCUAAAUAAUAUGCC
Molecule: long non-coding RNA, 1369 nt
Organism: Cyprinus carpio (common carp)
Lineage: Eukaryota; Metazoa; Chordata; Actinopteri; Cypriniformes; Cyprinidae
Source: Ensembl